AAUAGAUACCCGGGUAGUCCACGCCGUAAACGAUGAGCACUAGAUGUAGGGGGUAUCGACCCCCUCUGUGUCGAAGCUAACGCGAUAAGUGCUCCGCCUGGGGACUACGGCCGCAAGGCUAAAACCCAAAGGAAUUGACGGGGGCCCGCACAAGCAGCGGAGCGUGUGGUUUAAUUCGAUGAUACGCGAAGAACCUCACCCAGGUUUGACAUGCAUGUGGUACGGAUGUGAAAGCUGAAGGACCCUUCGGGGAGCAUGCACAGGUGUUGCACGGCCGUCGUCAGCUCGUGCCGUGAGGUGUUGGGUUAAGUCCCGCAACGAGCGCAACCCCUGUCGCCAGUUGUACUUUUCUGGCGAGACUGCCGAGAAAACCUCGGAGGAAGGAGGGGAUGAUGUCAGGUCAGCGUGGCCCUUACGCCUGGGGCUACACACACGCUACAAUGGGCAGUACAAAGGGUCGCGAAGCGGCGACGUGGAGCUAAUCCCAUCAAAACUGUCCUCAGUUCGGAUUGCAGGCUGAAACCCG
RNAcentral lists this ribosomal RNA (526 nucleotides) under uncultured bacterium. Its description in RNAcentral is "bacterial SSU rRNA". It matches the Rfam family "Bacterial small subunit ribosomal RNA", at positions 777 to 1314 of the family's 1533-position model. The record is from RNAcentral.